CGGAAGCAAAGUGAAAGUAAACUGAGAACCAGGCACAGCAAUGCUGGGUCCAGGAGAAGGCUGGUCCUCCUGCUUCAGUGGCCUCUCAGAAGGACAAAAGAAGAGUCACAGGAGUUUAAAGAAGGACAGUUUCUGUCUUAGAAAACCAUACAAUACUUGGAGGGAGUUUUCCAACAAGGAUGUUUUUCUACUGAAUUGAUAUCAAAAGGACCAGAGAACUCUAGAAGAGACGAAAGAAAGUGUGUGAGAUUCAGAGGUGUUGGGAGACACCAAAGAAACAAGUCUCUGUAUAUCAACAGGAUUGUUGAACGUAUGAAUUCAGAGAGACUGAGGCAGCAUGACAGAGCCUGCAUGGGGAGUCCUAAAGCCAAAAUGGGAAGUGGACUGAUAUGGGGAGUCCUUCUGUAUAUGUAUUGCCUUUAUUGAUCAAUAAAUAAAGCUGGUUUGGCCAAUGGUCUAGCAAAGUAAAGCCAGGUGAGAAAUAUGAACACAGAUAUAGAAAGAGUAGGCAGAGUCAAAAAGUUGCCAUCUAACUCUCAAA
Long non-coding RNA from Myodes glareolus (Bank vole), 541 nucleotides. RefSeq lists it as uncharacterized. NCBI's taxonomy places the organism in Eukaryota, Metazoa, Chordata, Mammalia, Rodentia, Cricetidae. The record is from RefSeq and is a predicted model, not a curated record.